RNAcentral lists this ribosomal RNA (564 nucleotides) under Batnamyces globulariicola. RNAcentral describes it as "partial 28S ribosomal RNA". It matches the Rfam family "Eukaryotic large subunit ribosomal RNA", at positions 38 to 625 of the family's 3401-position model. The record is from RNAcentral. Lineage: Eukaryota; Fungi; Ascomycota; Sordariomycetes; Sordariales.
GCAUAUCAAUAAGCGGAGGAAAAGAAACCAACAGGGAUUGCCCUAGUAACGGCGAGUGAAGCGGCAACAGCUCAAAUUUGAAAUCUGGCCUCGGCCCGAGUUGUAAUUUGUAGAGGAAGCUUUCCGGCGUGGCACCUUCUCGAGUCCCCUGGAACGGGGCGCCGUAGAGGGUGAGAGCCCCGUACAGUUGGAUGCCUAGCCUCUGUAAAGCUCCUUCGACGAGUCGAGUAGUUUGGGAAUGCUGCUCAAAAUGGGAGGUAAAUUUCUUCUAAAGCUAAAUAUUGGCCAGAGACCGAUAGCGCACAAGUAGAGUGAUCGAAAGAUGAAAAGCACUUUGAAAAGAGAGUUAAAUAGCACGUGAAAUUGUUGAAAGGGAAGCGCUUGUGACCAGACGUACGCCUGUGGCUGAUCAUCCGGUGUUCUCACCGGUGCACUCUGCCCGGCGUAGGCCAGCAUCGGUUCUCGCGGGGGGAUAAAGGCCCCGGGAAUGUAGCUCCUCCGGGAGUGUUAUAGCCCGGGGUGCAAUGCCCUCGCGGGGACCGAGGCUCGCGCUCUGCAAGGAUG